UCGCUAGUAAUCGCGGAUCAGAAUGCCGCGGUGAAUACGUUCCCGGGUCUUGUACACACCGCCCGUCACACCAUGGGAGCUGGUAACACCCGAAGUCAGUAGUCUAACCGCAAGGAGGACGCUGCCGAAGGUGGGAUUAGCGACUGGGGUGAAGUCGUAACAAGGUAGC
This 169-nucleotide ribosomal RNA is filed under the name uncultured bacterium. Its description in RNAcentral is "partial 16S ribosomal RNA". It matches the Rfam family "Bacterial small subunit ribosomal RNA", at positions 1332 to 1500 of the family's 1533-position model. The record is from RNAcentral.